GACGAACGCUGGCGGCGUGCUUAACACAUGCAAGUCGAACGAGAAAGCCCUUCGGGGUAAGUACAGUGGCGAACGGGUGAGUAACACGUGGGCAACCUGCCCCAGAGAGCGGGACAACCCGGGGAAACCCGGGCUAAUACCGCAUGAUGCGUCUCCACUUAAGUGGAGCCGCCAAAUGGUAGCUUCGGCCUCCGCUCUGGGAUGGGCCCGCGCCGGAUUAACUAGUGGGUUGGGGUAACGGCCCACCAAGGCGACGAUCCGUAGCUGGUCUGAGAGGACGAUCAGCCACACUGGGACUGAGACACGGCCCAGACUCCUACGGGAGGCAGCAGUGGGGAAUCUUGCGCAAUGGGCGAAAGCCUGACGCAGCAACGCCGCGUGGGGGAAGAAGGCCUUCGGGUUGUAAACCUCUUUCAGUAGGGACGAAGCUUCCGGGGUUAAUAGCCUACGGGGUGACGGUACCUACAGAAGAAGCCCCGGCUAACUACGUGCCAGCAGCCGCCGUAA
Molecule: ribosomal RNA, 507 nt
Filed under: uncultured bacterium
Lineage: Bacteria
Description: partial 16S ribosomal RNA
Rfam family: Bacterial small subunit ribosomal RNA
Source: RNAcentral